This 497-nucleotide ribosomal RNA is filed under the name uncultured bacterium. RNAcentral describes it as "bacterial SSU rRNA". It matches the Rfam family "Bacterial small subunit ribosomal RNA", at positions 30 to 518 of the family's 1533-position model. The record is from RNAcentral.
AUUGAACGCUGGCGGCAUGCCUUACACAUGCAAGUCGAACGGUAACAGGUCUUCGGAUGCUGACGAGUGGCGAACGGGUGAGUAAUACAUCGGAACGUGCCCGAUCGUGGGGGAUAACGGAGCGAAAGCUUUGCUAAUACCGCAUACGAUCUACGGAUGAAAGCAGGGGACCGCAAGGCCUUGCGCGGACGGAGCGGCCGAUGGCAGAUUAGGUAGUUGGUGGGAUAAAAGCUUACCAAGCCGACGAUCUGUAGCUGGUCUGAGAGGACGACCAGCCACACUGGGACUGAGACACGGCCCAGACUCCUACGGGAGGCAGCAGUGGGGAAUUUUGGACAAUGGGCGCAAGCCUGAUCCAGCAAUGCCGCGUGCAGGAUGAAGGCCUUCGGGUUGUAAACUGCUUUGUUACGGAACGAAACGGUAGAGCUCUAAUAAAGCUUAGCUAAUGACGGUACCGUAAGAAUAAGACACCGGCUAACUACGUGCCAGCAGCCGAC